UUAAUUAAGAGUUUGAUCCUAGCUCAGGAUGAACGCUGGCGGCGUGGAUAAGGCAUGCAAGUCGAACGCCCUCUUCGGAGGGAGUGGCGAACUGGGUAGUAACAGGUGGGUAUGAACUCAAGAGUCAGGAAUAGCUUAUCGAAAGGUAAGGUAAUACUUGAUAUCCCUACGGGGGAAAGAUUUAUCGCUCUUGAAUCAGCCUGCUUAGUAUCAGCUAGUUGGUGAGAUAAAAGCUCACCAAGGCUAUGACGCUUAGGGGAGGUGAGAGCCUGACCCCCACCAUUGGAACUGAGACACUGUCCAAACUCCUACGGGAGGCUGCAGUCGAGAAUCUUCCGCAAUGCACGAAAGUGUGACGGAGCGACGCCGCGUGAUUGAUGAAGCUCUUCGGAGUGUAAAAGUCUUUUAUAGGUGAAGAAGUUUAUUGACAUUAACCUAUGAAUAAGAGGCUGCUAACCUCGUGCCAGCAGCAGCGGUAAUACGAGGGCCUCAAGCGUUAUCCGGAAUUAUUGGGCGUAAAGGGUGUGUAGGCGGUAUAGUUAGUCUUAUGUUAAAGCCUCAGGCUCAACCUGAGAGAUGCAUAGGAAACGGCUAAACUAGAGUGUGUGAGGGGUGAAUGGAACUCAUAGUGUAGGGGUGAAAUCCGUUGAUAUUAUGGGGAACACCAAAAGCGAAGGCAAUUCACUGGCACAUCACUGACGCUGAGACACGAAAGCGUAGGUAGCGAAAGGGAUUAGAUACCCCUGUAGUCUACGCCCUAAACGUUGUUCACUAGCUUUUCGGAGUAUCGACCCUCUGAGAGGCACAGCUAACGCGUUAAGUGGACCGCCUGGGUAGUACGAGCGCAAGCUUAAAACUCAAAGGAAUAGACGGGGACUCGCACAAGCGGUGGAUCACGUGGCUUAAUUCGACAAUCCACGAAGAACCUCACCAAGGCUAGACAUUUAGCUUAUGCCGUCCUAGAAACAGGAAGGCCUAUCGGCUAAACAGGUGUUGCAUGGCCGUCGUCAGUUCGUGACUUGAGUUGUUCUCUUAAGUGAGGAAACGAACGUAACCCUUAUCGUCUGUUAUACGUGUCAGACGAGACCGCCCAGCACUUUGAGCACAAGCUCAAAGAAUUUUCAAUUUUCAAUUUUCAAACAAUUUCCAAUGUUUCAAUUUGAGAAUUUUUCAAACAACGAAUUUUUGCAAAGCAAAAAUUCGUCAAAUAAAAAUUUAUUUUUAUUGUUUGGAGAAUUUAAUCAUUAAUUCAUUAAUUCAUUGUUUAGAAAUUAGAAAUUAGAAAUUGAAAAUUCUUUGUGUCGCUUGCGAACAAAGUGUUGGGAGGAAGGUGGGGAUGACGCCAGGUCAGCAUGACCCUUGAUGCCUUGGGCUGCUCACAUGAUACAAUGGGUGUGACAACAGGUCGCGACGAGGUAACUCUGAGCCAAUCCUUAAACACAUCCCCAGUUCGGAUUGAGGGCUGAAACUCGCCCUCAUGAAGUUGGAAUCGCUAGUAAUCGCAGGUCAGCUAUACUGCGGUGAAUACGUUCUCGAGUCUUGUACUCACCGCCCGUCAACACAAGGGAGCCGGAGGUGCCCGACAGUCGUCCUAGUGGCGAACUAAGGUAAAAUCGGUAACAAGGUGUAAGUCGUAACAAGGUACGGCUACCGGAAGGUGGUCGUGGAUUAUUUCAAAA
Molecule: ribosomal RNA, 1679 nt
Filed under: Patescibacteria group bacterium
Lineage: Bacteria
Description: bacterial SSU rRNA
Rfam family: Bacterial small subunit ribosomal RNA
Source: RNAcentral